UACAUACACACAUACACACGCA
Molecule: microRNA, 22 nt
Filed under: Mus musculus (house mouse)
Lineage: Eukaryota; Metazoa; Chordata; Mammalia; Rodentia; Muridae
Description: mmu-miR-466m-3p
Gene: mmu-miR-466m-3p
Source: miRBase by way of RNAcentral